This 1456-nucleotide long non-coding RNA is filed under the name Callithrix jacchus (white-tufted-ear marmoset). Its description in RNAcentral is "lncRNA (ENSCJAG00000062209.2)". Lineage: Eukaryota; Metazoa; Chordata; Mammalia; Primates; Cebidae. The record is from RNAcentral.
CAUUUACCUAAUGCCUGUACCCUUAUUGUACCUAGGAAGCAAUUAACUUGCUUUUGAUUUUACAGGCUCAUAGGUGGAAGGGACUUGCCUUGUCACAGAUGAGACUUUAGACUGUGGACUUUUGAGUUAAUGUUGAAAUGAGUUAAGACUUUAGGGGACUGUUGUGAAGGCAUGAUUGUGUUUUGAAAUGUGAGGACAUGAGAUUUGGGAGGAGUCAGGGGCAGAAUGAUGUGGUUUGGUUGUGUCUCCACCCAAAUCUCAUUUUGAAUUUCCACAUGUUGUGGGCGGGACCCAGUGGGAGGUAAUUGAAUCAUGGGGGCAGGUCUUUCCCAUGCUGUUCUUGUGACAGCGAUCUCUCAUGAGAUCUAACAGGGAGUUUCCCUGCACAAGCUCUCUCUUUGCCUGCUGCCAUCUGUGUAAGAUGAGACUUGCUCCUCCUUGCCACCUACCAUGAUUGUGAGGCUUCUUCAGCCAUGUGGAACAAUUCAUGGAGAAAGCUACAAAAUACAAUCCAGAUGUUUUUCCUCCCCAACUCUGAAAACCUGAACCUGACCUUUCCCUAUUCCCAGGAACAGAAAAGACAAAGGCCUUGACUUGCUGCAGACCCUGGAAGUUUCAAAAACAGACCCAUAUAGAGACCAGGGACUCACUGACUUCUGAGGGAAGAGUGUGCCCAGGAAAGCGGGGAGGCAGAGAUUGCAGGAAAAGGCAGAAAUGUGAAAGCAAAAAGGCAGAUGGAAAAGGAGGAACAAUGUUAGAGGGUGUAUUUGUGAUAACAGUUUCAAGUCUGGGUGGGGAGUGCCCUGGCCCUUUGAUUGGCCUAAGUGGGUGAGGUGCUGGGGUAAGAAAUAACUCAGCACUCAGCAUUCCAGCCUUCCCCACUGUUAGCCAUCUUUGGAGUUAUUGCUGAAGUCCUUGAGUGAAGAAUGACUCAGACUUCCCCUGGGUUCCUCGGUGCAUUUACCUCUGGAAUAAAGGCCAACGUGAUGUCCAGAAUAGAGAAAGAAAUAGUCACUGGCAAGUACAAGACACACCUCUUUCAGGGGCUACGUUAUGGACAAAGUGUCCUCCUGUGGACAUCUGUCUGAGAAACCUUCCUCAAGAAAGUCCAUGCUCCAACAAGAGGCAUCUUGGAACUGAGACAGCCAGGUGGGAAGGGCUCCUGGCAAAACUUCAAUCGGUCUGCGCACUGGGAGGAAUGAACAGUGGGAUGGAGCCAUGGAAGUCUGCACCACCGUUUUCAGCAGGGAAGGGCCUGGCCCCUCCUCUUUCUGUGCGAAACUUGAGAUUCACACUUCAAGGUCUUGGAUCUUGGACAAGUCACAACUGUGUUACCUUCAAUGAAAACAGCAGACAAAUCUUAUUUGUGAUAUUUUUUGUGAUUCUCAGAACGUGCCAAGGAUCAAUGGAAGCAUUUGCCUCUUGUCACAUUCAGGCCACUGAACAGGUGGCCUGA